Molecule: long non-coding RNA, 2017 nt
Organism: Amphibalanus amphitrite
Lineage: Eukaryota; Metazoa; Arthropoda; Thecostraca; Balanomorpha; Balanidae
Exons: 3
Source: RefSeq, a predicted model, not a curated record
AAUGGGGAUGUUCGGCUUAUUUCCUCACCAGGUGGCAGCACUGCCUUCUUUGGACACAGAAACUGUGGCGGCGAAUGCGCCACUGUGUUUUGCACUGUGUGGAGUCCGUGCGGUGGCGGUCCGAGGGACUGAAUUUCGGUGAAUUUGAUAGCAAUUGAUUUGAAUUUUGCUCAGAUGGAUUGUGAAUUUAUAUUCAGCAAGUGUCACAAACAUGGAAAGGCAAGUUUACAAAGGACAGGAGACUUAGAAAGGCUUCAAUUGACGUGGCCGAAGAGAGGCGAGAAGCCGAAGAUAGACCGACUCCAAACGGUGCCCAGUGCAAUCAUGCUUCUGGUGCGGAGUUUUCAGGAUGGAGUCUGAGGAAUCAAGAAAGGCAGAGGACCUGCGUAUGAAGGAACCAGCCCUGCGGAUGAAGUUCUGAGGUGCAUACAGAGGGAUCCCACUGAAAGACCAGGUGCAAUGCUGCAUUGAUAAGAUCCAGAUUCAAGAGCAUGGAUGCUGCCAGAUCCUGUGAUUUGAAGUUACCAGUGUCACUGCUGCUACAAAUGACAUCAGCAACACUUCCUUUGGUGAAAGUUUAGAGGAGCAAACAGUUGGUGCUCUGUGUAGUCAGGCAGUGGAGUUUUGCCACAAUCAUGAAGGUGUCAAUUUUUGCUCUGGCUUCUGGGACACCUUGGAUCUACAUUGCAACCUAUGCUAGUGUUCAACAUUUCGUGCCAUAGUAUCACUGAUGCAAAGCGUGUUGCAUCCAGACAUGUGCAUGGAUCCGAGUGAUGGAUCUAUGAUCUCAGUGGAUCUUGAAGCAAAGUACAGGUUGGGAUCUAUGAUCCCAUCGGAUCCGGCGUGAAAAAUACAUCUUGGAUCUAUGAUCUCAAAUGAUCUGACGAUAAAUUAAGAACAUGGAUCUAUGAUCUGAGUGGAUCCCACCAUGCACCACAUUUGAAACCAUGUUUUAAAGGGUUUCUAUGUCAAUAAGUGACACAAAACUAUGGAUUAUGACGUGCGAUCACAUAAAAUCACUAAAACAGAACGUUUGAGUUGAAACAAGUGCUUUUUUGGGAUAUAUGUGUUAACAAAAAAUAAGUGAGGAUCUAUGAUCUCACUGGAUCUCAAGCAAAAAAUGAGACUCGGAUCUGUGAUCCCUAUGGAUCUCUCGAUAAAUUACAGAGCUGGAUCUAUGAUCCCGACGGAUCCGAGAUCAGGAUCCGUGGGAUCAGAUCCCAGAUCCAUUUUCUCGGAUCCAUGCACAUGUCUGGUUGCAUCAUAGACAAAUGAGAGCCAACAAAUUGUCAGAUAUUUUCUAGUGAUAGAGAACUGCAUGCCUUAAGCAAUUGUUGAAGGUGAUAAGUGGUGAAUGGUAGGGCUCAGCCACUCAGCUCCUUCCUUCAAAAGCUAUCAAUCAGCUCUAGAAGAGUAGUCAUAGCAAUGCUUCAUAUGUGAAGGCUACUUGCCUGAACAGAACAUUGUGGAUUUGCUAAUUAAGUACCUCUUUAUUACAAGUUUGUGCCCAUUACAAGCCAAGCUUAGUUUACUUAGUUUGUUGCAAGUUUUCCAGGCAGCCUUCACACUUGUGUCGCUGAAUAUUUAACUUUAACUGAUAGACCGACGAGAUAUUGUCCCUUUCGCAUCAGAUUGUUAUCAGUCAGUCGUGUUGGUAGAAGGUACAGUCUGUCUUAAAAGUAUACCGCGCAAAGUGACGGUGGAUCCAUCAAGCCUGACCGAGGAAGGGCCUGCUAUAAUUUGAAAGUCACCGAACCAAUUGACCUGGGGAACGGACGAGGAUGUCAUAUAGAGCCACGCAGAAAUCGCCGGUGAUUCGCUGCCCAUCAUUACAGAAUGAACGCAUGCCGGAUGAAGGGUUAUGUCAAUAGUCUGCACAAACUACAGGGAUGUGAUUGACUUAUCUGACAGUGACGAGCGCUAGAGGUCAACUUAAGACCGUAGGUAUGCGUUCUUGUCAUGGAAUGUGUGCUGUAAAUCGAUUGUUUCAUGCGUGUGAAUAUAUGUCUGAAUGUAA